Non-coding RNA from Homo sapiens (human), 337 nucleotides. Lineage: Eukaryota; Metazoa; Chordata; Mammalia; Primates; Hominidae. The record is from the annotation of a RefSeq genome assembly.
AUGGAGAAGAUGCGGAGACCUGUCCUAAUUAUAUUUUGUCUAUGUCUUGGCUGGGCAAAUGGAGAAAACCAGGUGGAGCACAGCCCUCAUUUUCUGGGACCCCAGCAGGGAGACGUUGCCUCCAUGAGCUGCACGUACUCUGUCAGUCGUUUUAACAAUUUGCAGUGGUACAGGCAAAAUACAGGGAUGGGUCCCAAACACCUAUUAUCCAUGUAUUCAGCUGGAUAUGAGAAGCAGAAAGGAAGACUAAAUGCUACAUUACUGAAGAAUGGAAGCAGCUUGUACAUUACAGCCGUGCAGCCUGAAGAUUCAGCCACCUAUUUCUGUGCUGUAGAUG